Molecule: ribosomal RNA, 253 nt
Filed under: uncultured bacterium
Lineage: Bacteria
Description: partial 16S ribosomal RNA
Rfam family: Bacterial small subunit ribosomal RNA
Source: RNAcentral
UACGUAGGGUGCAAGCGUUGUCCGGAAUUAUUGGGCGUAAAGAGCUCGUAGGCGGUUCGUCGCGUCGGCUGUGAAAUCCCGAGGCUCAACCUCGGGUCUGCAGUCGAUACGGGCGGACUGGAGUUCGGCAGGGGAGACUGGAAUUCCUGGUGUAGCGGUGAAAUGCGCAGAUAUCAGAAGGAACACCGGUGGCGAAGGCGGGUCUCUGGGCCGAUACUGACGCUGAGGAGCGAAAGCGUGGGGAGCGAACAGG